RNAcentral lists this ribosomal RNA (150 nucleotides) under Triticum aestivum (bread wheat). Its description in RNAcentral is "partial small subunit ribosomal RNA". Lineage: Eukaryota; Viridiplantae; Streptophyta; Magnoliopsida; Poales; Poaceae. The record is from RNAcentral.
AUGCAACUCGGGAACGGCACGGAGGCCCUAUUCUGGGAAGAUCGAUGGAUUGGCGGGCGUUCUGUUUGCGAGAUCGCGCCGCUCCUCUACGCCUGCAUUUCCAAGCGCCGCCGCAAGCUCAGGACCGUUGCCGAUGGACUCCAGGCCAAC